CUCCAGCCCUGCUCUCCACUAUAGCAGAGCACUGCCUGGGGCUACCCUCGACCUCCAGAGUCCCCACUGCCUCUCCCUGAUCUCACAGGGCAGCCAGGAAGGAAGCUGCCACGCACCAAUAGAGAGGGGUCUAGAAUGCCUGACCACCCCCUCUCUUUAGUGCCUCUACUUAGCAAGCUGUGGCUUCAAGUUUUCUCUUUCUCUGCAGUACCUUGCAAAGCAGGGGUUAGGUCCCUGCAGGGACUUGUGGGGGUCCUCUUGAAAGAACAUCCCCCAAGAACUCAGUAACACCUUGAGGUCCUCAGACUAUUUUCUUUGUUAUGAGGCGAAAAAUAGCUGAGACAUCUUAAGGGGAAGAUGGAUUUGGAGGCGUGGCUUCAGUGAUCACAGCUCAUGGACACUUAGCUCUGUGCAUGGUCAAAUACCAAGAACAGUUUGCCAGGAUCCAGAAUCUCCUGGGAGACAAAACUGCAUGACUGAAAAAGCGUUUCUAGAUGAGUUCAUCGAAGGGGGCAGUAUCAUUUCCUGAGCUGGGGUUGUGGGAAGAAUAAAGCAGAGACCUGGAGUUGAAGUGAUCAUCACCAUUCAUCUCUCUGCUUCCCGACUGGAUGCAGUGUGACCAGGGCCCACCAGCCAUGAUAGACUCUGCCUUUGAACUGGGAGCCAACACCAACCCUCUCCUCUUAAGCUGCUUCUAUUGGUUAUUUUGUCACAGUGAUGAGCAAAGUAACUCAUCUAAAAGUGUGGACACUUAGGAGCCCAGUGCUGCCUCCUGCUGAGAACCAGGACCUGAGCUUUGGCAAGGGGUGGUAGAGGACACACCCUUCACAUUGGUUCUUAGACGUGAAUGGCUUUAAAGCCAUUAGGGAGCAAUCUAGACAUUCUCUAAGAUUAAAGGACAGUAUUUGAAGAGAAACAAGAAAUUCUCUCUGUGACAAGUGCAGCUAUGACAUUGUUCAAGGGUAUUUCUGUCCAAUUCCAUUUCUCGUUCCAUUCAGAUAACAUAGGUUAUGGUUUUAAACCACUACCCACUGUUUGAUUCAUGGCUUUAUUUUUGAAUUUGAAAAUAAAUCAAACAUACCACUACUGUUAUUUCAUACUGUCUGAUAAUAGCCCAUCAGUGCUCAGGUAAUAACUUUCUUAAAGUACUGGAUUUUGUUCUGCCUGUGAUAUCAACUGUGCAUCUCUGGAAAAAUCAUGUAAAAAUCUCUAAGCUUUGGCUAAUUUAUGUUUGAAGUAAUAAACUGGUUUGUUUAUUAUAA
Microtus oregoni (creeping vole) is the source of this 1262-nucleotide long non-coding RNA. RefSeq lists it as uncharacterized. The transcript is spliced from 3 exons. The record is from RefSeq and is a predicted model, not a curated record. Lineage: Eukaryota; Metazoa; Chordata; Mammalia; Rodentia; Cricetidae.